RNAcentral lists this ribosomal RNA (472 nucleotides) under Speocera stellafera. RNAcentral describes it as "partial large subunit ribosomal RNA". It matches the Rfam family "Eukaryotic large subunit ribosomal RNA", at positions 685 to 1154 of the family's 3401-position model. The record is from RNAcentral. Lineage: Eukaryota; Metazoa; Arthropoda; Arachnida; Araneae; Ochyroceratidae.
CGCGAGUCGCCGGGUCUUGACAGGCCCGCGGGCGCAAUGAAAGUGAAAGCCGAGAGGCUUCGGCCGCACCGGCGGCCCGUUCCGGAAGACUCGUCUUCGGGGCGGAGCCGGAGCGCGCGCGUCGGGACCCGAAAGAUGGUGAACUAUGCCCGGGCAGGGCGAAGUCAGAGGAAACUCUGAUGGAGGCCCGCAGCGGUUCUGACGUGCAAAUCGAUCGUCGGACCUGGGUAUAGGGGCGAAAGACCUAUCGAACCGUCUAGUAGCUGGUUCCCUCCGAAGUUUCCCUCAGGAUAGCUGGCGCUCGGAGGAGACGGUCUCAUCCGGUAAAGCGAAUGACUAGAGGGCUCGGGGCCGAAACGACCUCGACCUAUUCUCAAACUUUAAAUGGGUGAGGAGGCCCGCCUGCGGGAGCGAGGCGGGGCCCCUUCGGACGAGAGCGCCCAGUGGGCCACUUUUGGUAAGCAGAACUGGC